GGCCUCGUAGAUCAGCUGGCAGAGCGUGCGCGUACAAAGCGUAGGCGGCUUCCAUGCGUGGGUUCGAAUCCCACCGAGGUUA
Molecule: transfer RNA, 82 nt
Filed under: Echinostoma caproni
Lineage: Eukaryota; Metazoa; Platyhelminthes; Trematoda; Plagiorchiida; Echinostomatidae
Rfam family: tRNA
About the family: Transfer RNA (tRNA) molecules are approximately 80 nucleotides in length. Their secondary structure includes four short double-helical elements and three loops (D, anti-codon, and T loops).
Source: Rfam by way of RNAcentral